Molecule: non-coding RNA, 30 nt
Filed under: Homo sapiens (human)
Lineage: Eukaryota; Metazoa; Chordata; Mammalia; Primates; Hominidae
Source: RNAcentral
UCGAUUGUCUAUGGGCCAUGGCGUAAGACC